Molecule: ribosomal RNA, 431 nt
Filed under: uncultured Acidovorax sp.
Lineage: Bacteria; Pseudomonadati; Pseudomonadota; Betaproteobacteria; Burkholderiales; Comamonadaceae
Description: bacterial SSU rRNA
Rfam family: Bacterial small subunit ribosomal RNA
Source: RNAcentral
AUGCAACGCGAAAACCUUAACCACCUUUGUACAUGUACGGAAGUCCUUUAGUAGAUAGAGGAGUGCUCGAAAGAGAGCCGUAACACAGGUGCUGCAUGGCUGUCGUCAGCUCGUGUCGUGAGAUGUUGGGUUAAGUCCCGCAACGAGCGCAACCCUUGUCAUUAGUUGCUACAUUCAGUUGGGCACUCUAAUGAGACUGCCGGUGACAAACCGGAGGAAGGUGGGGAUGACGUCAAGUCCUCAUGGCCCUUAUAGGUGGGGCUACACACGUCAUACAAUGGAUGGUACAAAGGGUCGCCAACCCGCGAGGGGGAGCCAAUCCCAUAAAGCCAUUCGUAGUCCGGAUCGCAGUCUGCAACUCGACUGCGUGAAGUCGGAAUCGCUAGUAAUCGUGGAUCAGCCAAGCCGCGGUGAAUACGUUCCCGGGCCUU